This 370-nucleotide ribosomal RNA is filed under the name uncultured organism. RNAcentral's name for it is "bacterial SSU rRNA". It matches the Rfam family "Bacterial small subunit ribosomal RNA", at positions 526 to 896 of the family's 1533-position model. The record is from RNAcentral.
CGUAGGGUGCGAGCGUUAAUCGGAAUUACUGGGCGUAAAGCGUGCGCAGGCGGUUUUGUAAGUCUGAUGUGAAAUCCCCGGGCUCAACCUGGGAAUUGCAUUGGAGACUGCAAGGCUAGAAUCUGGCAGAGGGGGGUAGAAUUCCACGUGUAGCAGUGAAAUGCGUAGAUAUGUGGAGGAACACCGAUGGCGAAGGCAGCCCCCUGGGUCAAGAUUGACGCUCAUGCACGAAAGCGUGGGGAGCAAACAGGAUUAGAUACCCUGGUAGUCCACGCCCUAAACGAUGUCUACUAGUUGUCGGGUCUUAAUUGACUUGGUAACGCAGCUAACGCGUGAAGUAGACCGCCUGGGGAGUACGGUCGCAAGAUUA